UCGGCCGCUGGCCUGUAUGGCAGUGUCCGCUCCUGUCAAAUUCGUUUCUCUAUACGGCGCGAGCAUGAGCGAAGACGAAGAAGAAAGAAGUGACUGGCAAGACUGGGGGCUGCAUAAGCAAGCAAGCAAGCAAGGCUGCACAAACCCUUCGGGCGCAUCUUUCAACUUCCACAGGACGGGGGAGUUGGCUGGCUUCUGGCGUGCGGGCUUGCAUGCGAGCAUAGCAUGCAGCUCUGCAAGCUCGCUCCGAACGCAUGAGACAAAGGGGAUUGCACGAGCAGCGCCCUCAGAACAAGGGUUCGAAGGGGUUGCAGUCUGGCUCCGCUGCAGACCGUGUCCCGCACGGCUGAAGAUCUCUACUUCGCUCCUGAACGCGUCACCUUAUACAAAGUGAAAUAACGCGAGAUACCAUAGCGUAGAACAUCGGUUUUUGAGGCAUGAAGCAGGAAACCGUGUGGAAGUACUAUGCUUCUUUUAAUUACCUGCGACACGGCCGAUUUCUUUCACCCUCUCUCGUGAUUUGCUGAACUUGGGAGU
Long non-coding RNA from Dermacentor albipictus, 537 nucleotides. RefSeq lists it as uncharacterized. Lineage: Eukaryota; Metazoa; Arthropoda; Arachnida; Ixodida; Ixodidae. The record is from RefSeq and is a predicted model, not a curated record.